RNAcentral lists this ribosomal RNA (697 nucleotides) under uncultured Lachnospiraceae bacterium. RNAcentral's name for it is "bacterial SSU rRNA". It matches the Rfam family "Bacterial small subunit ribosomal RNA", at positions 65 to 775 of the family's 1533-position model. The record is from RNAcentral. Lineage: Bacteria; Bacillati; Bacillota; Clostridia; Lachnospirales; Lachnospiraceae.
AGUUCGAUUCUUCGGAUGAAGACUUUUGUGACUGAGCGGCGGACGGGUGAGUAACGCGUGGGUAACCUGCCUCAUACAGGGGGAUAACAGUUAGAAAUGGCUGCUAAUACCGCAUAAGACCACAGUACUGCAUGGUACAGUGGUAAAAACUCCGGUGGUAUGAGAUGGACCCGCGUCUGAUUAGGUAGUUGGUGAGGUAACGGCCCACCAAGCCGACGAUCAGUAGCCGACCUGAGGGGGUGACCGGCCACAUUGGGACUGAGACACGGCCCAGACUCCUACGGGAGGCAGCAGUGGGGAAUAUUGCACAAUGGGCGAAAGCCUGAUGCAGCGACGCCGCGUGAAGGAUGAAGUAUUUCGGUAUGUAAACUUCUAUCAGCAGGGAAGAAAAUGACGGUACCUGACUAAGAAGCCCCGGCUAACUACGUGCCAGCAGCCGCGGUAAUACGUAGGGGGCAAGCGUUAUCCGGAUUUACUGGGUGUAAAGGGAGCGUAGACGGCUGUGCAAGUCUGAAGUGAAAGGCAUGGGCUCAACCUGUGGACUGCUUUGGAAACUGUGCAGCUAGAGUGUCGGAGAGGUAAGUGGAAUUCCUAGUGUAGCGGUGAAAUGCGUAGAUAUUAGGAGGAACACCAGUGGCGAAGGCGGCUUACUGGACGAUGACUGACGUUGAGGCUCGAAAGCGUGGGGAGCAAACAG